AAAUAGACCUUUACAACGGACACGUAGAUGUAAAUGUAAAGGUAGACGUACUAGGUACUUUGGUCAAAACACGGGGGAUUUCUCAAAACAUAAAUUUCGGAACAAGUCAGCUUCAAAAAAAACAGCGGCUUCAAAUAAAGUCACAAAAUCGGUCUUAAUAUAAGCAUGUUAUAUACCAUGUUUGGCGGAUAAUAUGUUCACGGUGAGGAUGCGUACACCGGAUAUUGCCAUUUAGUGAUAAGGUAUUUUCCGAAAACGUGUUUAUUUUUCGUCAACAUGAUCCAACUUGUUUAUGUGUGUUUAUGGCUGGCUCGACGAACGAAUUUAAGGCCAUUGUAUGUCAUUUUCUUGAACACCACCCAAAUGACGAGAAUAUUAUAGUACGCUAACGACCAAAACCGCAAAAAAAUGUAAAUUACAAGAUAGCACCAGACAUAUGCGGAGAGAAAAAAAAGAAAAAAUACUGUUGAUUCAGAAAAUAUUAACAUACUUGUUUCAAAAAGGAACCCUCUUACAAAAGGGACCAAUUUGCAACAGAAAGAAACCUUUGAUUUGGGCAAAUGGUGAGGAGCCUGUUCACUGACGGCAGUGGAAAUGUAUACUUCCUACCACGCCAUCUAGCAGAACUCAACAUUUACACAAUGCUAUCAGUACAAAAAUAUAAGCUAGAAACACAUACACGGCGGUGUACAUGGAACUUUCAAUGUUACACAGAGUGCAAUUCCAUGGACAGACAAGGUUUUCAGAGAGUAUUGUUAUACAGUCUAUGAAAGAAUGUGACAAAAUAGAUGGAUGAAUAAAUAGCCUGUAAUCAGUUUGUUUGCCAAGAAACGUUUUCUUUAACUGAUUUUAUAGUUUCCUAUAUUUCUUGACGUCGCAAAAUGUUUCAUCGACAACUUGGUUAAUAUGAGGUAUAGUGAAGACUGCAAGUUGUUUUGAAGAGCAGGCUUAUAAUGAUUCUUCCAAUGAUUUUACAACUGCUUGCAUAACAGAGACCGCAUUUCUGACGCUAAAUUAAGAGGAAAGAGAAUGCAAGACAGACAAAUACUUAUUGACAUUAAAAGAAGCAGCUAGUUACUGCAUAAAUGUGAUGAGUGUACAUUACUUCCACAUAAGAUUGGGCAUUGAUACUGAAAUAGGUUCUGUUGUGACAGAUUUAUCUUACCAAACAUUAUUUCACAAGUAAUAUUGUAAAAGCCAUGUUUUACUUUGAUAAAGAACAAAAAGUCAUGUACAUUGAAAUAUUUAUUAAACAAAGUUGAAACGUAAACACAAAUUCAUAAAAUAUCAAAGAUAAUAAUAAGAUAGUAGAAGAACUCCGUAAGAUUUGUCUUUCGUUCCUUUCCACCAACUGUACUUGUAAUGUUAGUAUAUAAAUAUAGUUAUGUAUAUUGUUGGGAAUAGAUAUGUUUAAACCAAAGAUCAUAAACAUUUGACAUUCAACAGUUUGAAUACAUGAAAAAAAUCGAAAUGAUCUUCAGGUCAGUUCCCAGUCAUUUGUUAUAGUUCGAAGUUGACCUUGACAAUAAAUAUACUAUUUUGGUCAAAGGGAAGUUGAUCACAUAAAAGUGAUAACGAACUGCUUGCAAAGAAAUGACAUAUAUCUUGCAAAUGAAGUGUGCAAAAACUAUUUCAAGAAUAACACAUGGCACUGUUUCCUCCUACUUUUAACACAAAUUGCUCAGUGCAUAUGACACCCAUUUUGUUUCGUAUGAAGCAAGUGGUGAGCUUAUUACCUUUCAGAACAAU
This is a long non-coding RNA of Mercenaria mercenaria, 1749 nucleotides long. RefSeq lists it as uncharacterized. The transcript is spliced from 2 exons. The record is from RefSeq and is a predicted model, not a curated record. NCBI's taxonomy places the organism in Eukaryota, Metazoa, Mollusca, Bivalvia, Venerida, Veneridae.